GUGCCAGCAGCCGCGGUAAUACGGGAGGGGCGAGCGUUAUCCGUAAUGACUGGGCGUAAAGUGCUCGUAGAUUGUAAUAUAAGUUAAUUAUAAAAUUUUAAAGUAAUUACUUAAAAAAAUAAUUAAUACUGUAUUACUUUUGAGUUUUGUACAGAAAAGUUGUAUUUCAUAUCUAGGGAUAAGCCCCAAAAAGUUAUGAAAGAAAAUCAAUAGCGAAGGCAGCUUUUUGGUAAAAACUGACAUUGAGGAGCGAAAGUAUGGGGAGCAAACAGGAUUAGAGACCCUGGUAGUCCAUACUGUAAAUUAUGAGUGCUGUAAUUUAAAAAAUUUAUUUGUUAAUUUAAACAAAUUUUUUUAGAUUUUUAAGCUAACGCAAUAAGCACUCCGCCUGAGGAGUACGAUCGCAAGAUUGGAACUCAAAGGAAUUGACGGGAACCUACAACAAGUGGUGGAGCAUGUGGUUUAAUGCGAUAAUCCGCGCAAAACCUUACCAAGUCUUGAUAUAAUAAUAAAAUAUUUAAUGAUUUAAAAAAUUUUAAAUAUUUAAUAUGUUUACAGGUGUUGCACGACUGUCGUCAGUUCGUGCUGUAAAGUAUUUGGUUCAUUCCUUUUUACGAACGUAACUCUUAUUUUUAAUAAAGUUUGUUUUACUUUUUAAAGUAUAUAUUUUUAUUAAAAAAACGGUCUAUGAUAAAUAGAAGGAAGACAAGAAUUAAGUCAAGUCCCUGUGGCCCUUAUGAUUUGGGCUACACACGUGCUACAAUG
RNAcentral lists this ribosomal RNA (765 nucleotides) under Trieres chinensis. RNAcentral describes it as "partial Bacterial small subunit ribosomal RNA". It matches the Rfam family "Bacterial small subunit ribosomal RNA", at positions 505 to 1232 of the family's 1533-position model. The record is from RNAcentral. Lineage: Eukaryota; Bacillariophyta; Thalassiosirophyceae; Eupodiscales; Parodontellaceae.